UACAGAGGGUGCAAGCGUUAAUCGGAUUUACUGGGCGUAAAGCGCGUGUAGGCGGCCAGGUAGGUCCGCUGUGAAAACUCGAGGCUCAACCUCGAGACGUCGGCGGAAACCAUCUGGCUAGAGUCCGGAAGAGGAGAGUGGAAUUCCUGGUGUAGCGGUGAAAUGCGCAGAUAUCAGGAAGAAUAUCCGUGGCGAAGGCGGCUCUCUGGGACGGUACUGACGCUGAGACGCGAAAGCGUGGGGAGCGAACAGG
Molecule: ribosomal RNA, 253 nt
Filed under: uncultured bacterium
Lineage: Bacteria
Description: partial 16S ribosomal RNA
Rfam family: Bacterial small subunit ribosomal RNA
Source: RNAcentral